UGGGGAAUAUUGCACAAUGGGCGCAAGCCUGAUGCAGCCAUGCCGCGUGUGUGAAGAAGGCCUUCGGGUUGUAAAGCACUUUCAGCGAGGAGGAAGGUGGUGAACUUAAUACGUUCAUCAAUUGACGUUACUCGCAGAAGAAGCACCGGCUAACUCCGUGCCAGCAGCCGCGGUAAUACGGAGGGUGCAAGCGUUAAUCGGAAUUACUGGGCGUAAAGCGCACGCAGGCGGUUUGUUAAGUCAGAUGUGAAAUCCCCGGGCUCAACCUGGGAACUGCAUUUGAAACUGGCAAGCUAGAGUCUCGUAGAGGGGGUAGAAUUCCAGGUGUAGCGGUGAAAUGCGUAGAGAUCUGGAGGAAUACCGGUGGCGAAGGCAGCCCCCUGGACGAAGACUGACGCUCAGGUGCGAAAGCGUGGGGAGCAAACAGGAUUAGAUACCCCGGUAGUCCACGCUGUAAACGAUGUCGAUUUUGGAGGUUGUGCCCUUGAGGCGUGGCUUCCGGAGCUAACGCGUUAAAUCGACCGCCUGGGGAGUACGGCCGCAAGGUUAAAACUCAAAUGAAUUGAC
Molecule: ribosomal RNA, 567 nt
Filed under: uncultured bacterium
Lineage: Bacteria
Description: partial 16S ribosomal RNA
Rfam family: Bacterial small subunit ribosomal RNA
Source: RNAcentral